This 75-nucleotide transfer RNA is filed under the name Cerataphis brasiliensis yeast-like symbiont. Its description in RNAcentral is "tRNA-Ile (AAT) (tRNA-Ile-AAT-2-1)". It matches the Rfam family "tRNA". Rfam says of the family: Transfer RNA (tRNA) molecules are approximately 80 nucleotides in length. Their secondary structure includes four short double-helical elements and three loops (D, anti-codon, and T loops). The record is from RNAcentral. Lineage: Eukaryota; Fungi; Ascomycota.
GCUCCCGUAGCUCAGUUGGUUAGAGCGUCGUACUAAUAAUGCGAAGGCCACAGGUUCCGACCCCUGUCGGGAGCA